Molecule: ribosomal RNA, 455 nt
Filed under: uncultured bacterium
Lineage: Bacteria
Description: bacterial SSU rRNA
Rfam family: Bacterial small subunit ribosomal RNA
Source: RNAcentral
AACGAACGUUAGCGGCGCGCUUAACACAUGCAAGUCGAGCGAAAAAGGGGCAACCCCGGUAAAGCGGCGCACGGGUGAGUAACACGUAGGUAAUCUACCCCCAGGUGGUGGAUAACCUUCCGAAAGGAAGGCUAAUACAGCAUGGGACCACGACUUCGAAAGGAGUUGAGGUGAAAGUUGGCCUCUUCACGAAAGCCAACGCCAGGGGAUGAGCCUGCGGCCCAUCAGCUAGUUGGUAGGGUAAUGGCCUACCAAGGCAAAGACGGGUAGCUGGUCUGAGAGGAUGAUCAGCCACACUGGAACUGAGACACGGUCCAGACUCCUACGGGAGGCAGCAGUGGGGAAUCUUGCGCAAUGGGCGAAAGCCUGACGCAGCGACGCCGCGUGAGUGAUGAAGGCCCUCGGGUUGUAAAGCUCUGUGGAGGGGGACGAAUAAGCGUUGGUUAAUAUCCAGC